UGAGAACAUGCUGGUUAAUGCGUAUGUAAGCGCAUGUCCAGCAUGUGGGGAAAUGUGUUUGGCUUAAUGAUUGACAGGCAUUUUAUACUCCUUUCUGUGACCUUCGGAACUCUGUGAACUACAAAGGUUAGUUUCUAACUUUGUGAAUUUUCAUAGAA
This 158-nucleotide long non-coding RNA is filed under the name Cavia porcellus (domestic guinea pig). RNAcentral's name for it is "lncRNA (ENSCPOG00000036843.1)". Lineage: Eukaryota; Metazoa; Chordata; Mammalia; Rodentia; Caviidae. The record is from RNAcentral.